UGAUAGCCGAUUACUUGCCGUCCAGGAGAUGUAACAAAGGUUUAUUGAACAGGAGAAGGCAAUUUCAUCUUGACGAAUAUGAAUAUAAAGACAGAAUAAUAUUAUGCAGUAAGAAUAUAUUGAAUGGAAAAGAGAAUGCCACUGAGGGAAGCGGAUCUCAGGGUAUAAUUAUUAACGUGACGCCCUAUGCCACUAACGAAAACACCAGGGCAUCCCUGCGUAAGUGGUUUCAGUGCUGGAGCCAGCUCUCUGAAGUUUAUUGACAUACGCGGUCUAUGUUCCAGUUGAAUGUAGAUAAAAAUAGAAUAUCAAUCUCCCUCCUAUGGCAUAUGCUGGGCAUCAACAUGGUUAGAACGUGGCAAUGCUUGUGGAGAGUUUUUCCCUUUUUACACCUUUAAGACCUGCAACAUUGUUAAUUACUAGUAUAUUUUUCUCAUACUGAGUACCGAGCUAAGUUGUGAAGGUGGCAGUCACUGACCAAAACUUGAGCAAAAAUA
Molecule: small RNA, 497 nt
Filed under: Histoplasma capsulatum
Lineage: Eukaryota; Fungi; Ascomycota; Eurotiomycetes; Onygenales; Ajellomycetaceae
Also listed under: 1 other name
Description: hypothetical RNA
Source: RNAcentral